RNAcentral lists this unclassified non-coding RNA (45 nucleotides) under Sorangium cellulosum So ce56. The record is from RNAcentral. Lineage: Bacteria; Pseudomonadati; Myxococcota; Polyangiales; Polyangiaceae.
GGUGUCGCGAUCGCUCCGUCGGGGCGCACAGCGUCGGUCCAUGCG